RNAcentral lists this ribosomal RNA (253 nucleotides) under uncultured bacterium. Its description in RNAcentral is "partial 16S ribosomal RNA". It matches the Rfam family "Bacterial small subunit ribosomal RNA", at positions 524 to 776 of the family's 1533-position model. The record is from RNAcentral.
UACAGGGGGUGCAAACGUUGCUCGGAAUUAUUGGGCGUAAAGCGCGCGUAGGCGGCCGCUUAAGUCGGAUGUGAAAGCCCCUGGCUCAACUGGGGAAGUGCACCCGAAACUGAGUGGCUUGAGUACUAAAGAGGGUCGCGGAAUUCCCGGUGUAGAGGUGAAAUUCGUAGAUAUCGGGAGGAACACCGGUGGCGAAGGCGGCGACCUGGGUAGAUACUGACGCUGAGGAGCGAAAGCGUGGGGAGCGAACAGG